CAGUGCCAUUUCCGUGCUUCAUAGGUUGUCACUUACAAUUAGUUUGUAUUUUUAUUUUUAAUCCAAUACGGGCCCAAUUAUAUAGCCUAAUAGGCAGUUGAAACCUACAACCUAGUCUGGGCUCUAAUGCCAUAUUAAAUUCGGAGAGAGUGUUGGUCAAAUUAUAAUUUAAUUCAUUUUAAUUUGAGUUUAUAUAAGUUAUUAGAUUGCUUUACAUAUUAAAAUAAUUAGCCAAGUCAAUGUUACAACCCAAUUACUUAUAUAUUGCCCUUUUACUUCAUAUUCUUCGAUGUGAGAUUCCAAUGGAAUCUUUCUUUGCUCCAAAUUCUUGUUAUCUUCAACUAGACAAAAGUUCAAACUUGCUUCUAUCAGGAGAAGACGUUUCAGACCAUCUUUCGGCACCCAUUUCACACAAAUCACUCUCUUUCUCUCUCCUUCCCUUUUAUAAUUUUUGUCUUUUGGUUUUGAGCCCUAUCUCACUAGAUGGUUUCUCCUAUGUCUGUAUACCUUUCAUCUUCAUACCAAAAUAGAAUUUGCAAGUUAACAUCAGUAGGCAAAAUAUUGCUGUCAGGUGGGCUUUUUUCUUAGUUUACAUGAAUAGCAGAAAGGUCUUGGAUCAAAUUACAAUUAUAAUCAAUUUGCUAAUAAAUAAUCUUCUAAAUAUGUCAUUAUUGUUGCCUAUUUUUUCUAUUCAAGUCCAAGUUGUCACCUUUGCUACAUUUUCUUCAUUUUGAAAGGCUAAAACCAAUGACUGCAAGUUUCUUGAGGUAUUUCGAUGGUAAUUUUGAUUCUUCUGCAUAGGUUUGGUGGCUUCAAAUCAAUGAUCAACUUAGAGAAUUAUUACUUUAUAUUAUUGUAAGAGUGAAAAUUAUGUUUCGUAUUCAAAAUGUGCACCAUCAAUUGACACUAGAGCGUAAAUUGGGGUGGUGGAUAUCAACAUCAUGGACGUCCUGCAUUCACAUUAGGUGCUAUAUAUUGCAUCAGCAAUGUCCCUGUAGGGGAUAAGAUUGACAGAUAGGCGAUUCUACUAGAUGGUCCGGUCGACAAAAAGCGACUGCAUAGCUACCAUAAUAUUUCAUUUAAUCCCCAGUUGUUGCAUAACCAAAAAUUUCCAUCAAUCCAUCAAAACUGUCUCUCCAUGGUCCCAAAUGCUCCUGACCUUUCACACUAAUGCCUGUUUUUAUAUUCUGAAUUAUUAAUACAGGGGGUGGUGGUGUGUGCUGACCUUAUCCCCCUUAGAUAACAUGUAAUCUUGAUGAAUGGCUAUGCUAGCUGUACUAGGAUUAUUCAGGAUUGAAGUUGAAACUGCUUUUUUGGAAAGCACCCUUUAGACCCUCUAAUAAACAUAUUUAAGAUAGUGAAUUUCUUGAUAGCAGCUCAAAAAGAAAUGCUAGUUGGCUUGAACAAGUUAGACCAAGAAAUAAAUUAUAAAAGAUAAAGCUGUUUACCUCUUCACUGGUGGAAUAGUGGCUGCAGGCAGUGGUAGGCCAUCACUUGAAAAGGUGCCAACCAAUUUGCUUGUUGGAGGUUGAAUUCUUCAAACUACGGCACAAUUAACUAUAAUUUUUAAGUUUUAAAUGUGAUCUGGAUAUGUAGUUGUAUUAUUGUUUAUACAUGUGAUUAACAUAGCUUUUAUUAAAAUCAAUAUGCAGGGAAAAAAUGGGAGCAGGAAUUAUUCCAGCAGUGGACAAAGUAUCUCAUGACAAAUUUCUUUUUUGAAAACAAUAAAAUAUGAGAUUAUUAAUGACCAAUAGAGGUUGAAGUUAUAUAAAGAGAAUACGAUGAAAAUGAGUUAGGAAGAGAGUUAUUAUAAGGAAAUACUAAUUCUUUGACAGAUGUAUAAUAAAUAAAAGUUGGUCAUGAAAGGAUUUAUAUAUUUUUUAUAUUUGUGUUAAUUUCAUAAUUAAUUAUAGUUUGUUUUUUUAGCUCAAGUAGAUCUUCAUUAGAUAUGCGUUUUUUGAAGUGGUUUAUUAUCAUUAUUACAUAAAAAAUUAUUGAAAAGAAAAAGCCAAUGUGAUUCAA
This 2022-nucleotide unclassified non-coding RNA is filed under the name Hevea brasiliensis (rubber tree). Lineage: Eukaryota; Viridiplantae; Streptophyta; Magnoliopsida; Malpighiales; Euphorbiaceae. The record is from RNAcentral.